UAUCUCUAUCUUCUUUCUUCUGACUUUAUCAUUGGGCAGAAGGAGCUGACUCACUUAGUGUGAUGAAAAAUGACUCCGGCUCAGGCUGCCCCUUUCCUCAGAGUAGAUAAAGGCCCCCAAGGAUCUGCUUUUUCUAUGUCCCCUGGCAGAUCCCUAGCAACAUGGUCGAUGGCUAUUAUGAGACCAGCAGCCAGAGCCACACAGGGCUGGUCCUCUUGUCCAGCUCUGGGGAGAAGCAGGACAUACAAGAAUGGAGCCAGCAGGACUUUGAGUAGGAAACAGCCUGGAAAGGCAUCGCAGCUUCCCAACCAAAGAGGUCAGGAGGUCUGUGUCAGCUCCCCCGAGUCCUAGAGCCAAGCACAUCCUUGACCAUGGAGCUGAAUCCCUGAGUAACCUGGAAGCAACAAGAAACUAAGGACCUCUGUGGGCAGAUGAGGGAGCAGGGACCUGAGCCCAGGGAAUUUGCUCCAGCUCCUGAAGCUUCCUGCACUGUGUGCUGGUUGUCAAGCAACUACACUCUGGGCCUCUUCUGGAUGUAAAUUUAAACUUAUUUAGACUCAUCUUUGUAAUGUACUUCCGUGCAUUUUCUACUGCCUGUAGAGAUCCUACGACCCUCUUGUCACCACGCCCCGGCGCCCUCCAAUCACACCGUGGUUGACACAUACUCAAGUGUGUAGGGGAGUGCUUAUGUUUAGCAUUUUCCAGGGGAAAUUGUUUCAAAACCAUCAACCAACAAAUAUUUAUAGAAUGUUAUUUACCACUUCUGUGUUUAGCUACAUGAAAUAAUGGAAAUUCUCUAAAGCAAACCAGCCUUUUGGGUGAUUCUAUGGGUUUUGUUUUGUGACGAAGUCAGGAUCUCUUGUUGGAAAAAUGAUGGGGGGACAAAGAGUAAGAAAAUCUGAAGAGGGGAAGUCAGCAGAAAGGAAAUGACAGUAAUACCUGUAUCUACGCAUUCCUGAAAUUUAAAAACAAAACAUUAUCAUAGAAAACAACGAUGAUAAAAUAUCAUGUACCUAGCAGAUAAUGGACACGCACUAGGUAUAGUCAUUCUUCAUAUAUAUGCAUGCAUUUAAGUUUAUUUUUCUCAUGAAUCAAACUUUCCUAAAAAUUAUGUAUUGUCCUUUCAAUCCUAACAAUUUCACCAAGGUUUCCAUUUGACAGAAGAGGAAGUGUUGGCUCAGAGAGGUAAAACAACUUGCCCACAGUCAAGCAGCCAAUAAAUAAUAUAACUAAGAUGAAAACCUACCCCAGCAUUUCUCAGACCAUCCCAGAACCACCAGGGAUGAUUGCUUCAAAUGCUGGCAAUAGAAUUUUUGGGGUUUGGAUCUGGAGACCCAGGCUUUUACCAAACCCUCAAGUGAUUUACGUGUAGACAGAAGACCUUUCCCAGUGACUUCAUCAAUGAGAUUUACCGCUCGUUUCUUAACAAGGUGCAUAUAGCAAUAGACGUGUUACCUGGAUAUGAGUUUCCUAAAAUCCAUGCUCCACAAAAGCAUAGCUAACAUUAGAGAAGGAAAAAAAUAAUCAGCCAAUAUAUGCAACAAGACUUCUCUCAUGAAUGCCAAGUUAUUUAUCAGACCGAUUACCUAGAUCAGGGUUAGCAAGCUACAGUCCUCAGAACAAAUCCAU
Long non-coding RNA from Ailuropoda melanoleuca (giant panda), 1629 nucleotides. The record is from Ensembl. Lineage: Eukaryota; Metazoa; Chordata; Mammalia; Carnivora; Ursidae.